GCCCUUAUAGCUCAGUGGUAGAGCGUUGCACUUGUAAUGCAAAGGUCCAUUGUUCAAUCCAGUGUGGGGGCA
This 72-nucleotide transfer RNA is filed under the name Fusarium acuminatum. RNAcentral describes it as "tRNA-Thr". It matches the Rfam family "tRNA". From Rfam's summary of the family: Transfer RNA (tRNA) molecules are approximately 80 nucleotides in length. Their secondary structure includes four short double-helical elements and three loops (D, anti-codon, and T loops). Lineage: Eukaryota; Fungi; Ascomycota; Sordariomycetes; Hypocreales; Nectriaceae. RNAcentral also lists the same sequence under 9 other names. The record is from RNAcentral.